GUGUGCCUAAUACAUGCAAGUCGAACGCGUUGGCCCAAUUGAUUGAUGGUGCUUGCACCUGAUUGAUUUUGGUCGCCAACGAGUGGCGGACGGGUGAGUAACACGUAGGUAACCUGCCCAGAAGCGGGGGACAACAUUUGGAAACAGAUGCUAAUACCGCAUAACARCGUUGUUCGCAUGAACAACGCUUAAAAGAUGGCUUCUCGCUAUCACUUCUGGAUGGACCUGCGGUGCAUUAGCUUGUUGGUGGGGUAACGGCCUACCAAGGCGAUGAUGCAUAGCCGAGUUGAGAGACUGAUCGGCCACAAUGGGACUGAGACACGGCCCAUACUCCUACGGGAGGCAGCAGUAGGGAAUCUUCCACAAUGGGCGCAAGCCUGAUGGAGCAACACCGCGUGAGUGAAGAAGGGUUUCGGCUCGUAAAGCUCUGUUGUUAAAGAAGAACACGUAUGAGAGUAACUGUUCAUACGUUGACGGUAUUUAACCAGAAAGUCACGGCUAACUACGUGCCAGCAGCCGCGGUAAUACGUAGGUGGCAAGCGUUAUCCGGAUU
This 553-nucleotide ribosomal RNA is filed under the name Limosilactobacillus fermentum. Its description in RNAcentral is "bacterial SSU rRNA". It matches the Rfam family "Bacterial small subunit ribosomal RNA", at positions 42 to 551 of the family's 1533-position model. Lineage: Bacteria; Bacillati; Bacillota; Bacilli; Lactobacillales; Lactobacillaceae. The record is from RNAcentral.